This 463-nucleotide ribosomal RNA is filed under the name uncultured bacterium. RNAcentral describes it as "bacterial SSU rRNA". It matches the Rfam family "Bacterial small subunit ribosomal RNA", at positions 917 to 1382 of the family's 1533-position model. The record is from RNAcentral.
GGACCCGCACAAGCAGCGGAGCAUGUGGUUUAAUUCGAAGCAACGCGAAGAACCUUACCUAGACUUGACAUCUCCUGAAUUACUCGUAACUGAGGAAAUCCCUUCGGGGACAGGAAGACAGGUGGUGCAUGGUUGUCGUCAGCUCGUGUCGUGAGAUGUUGGGUUAAGUCCCGCAACGAGCGCAACCCUUAUCAUUAGUUGCUAACAUUAAGUUGAGCACUCUAGUGAGACUGCCUGGGUUAACCAGGAGGAAGGUGGGGAUGACGUCAAAUCAUCAUGCCCCUUAUGUCUAGGGCCACACACGUGCUACAAUGGUGGGGACAGAAAGAUGCGAAACCGCAAGGUUGAGCCAAACUCAAAACCCCAUCCCAGUUCGGAUUGUAGGCUGAAACUCGCCUACAUGAAGCCGGAGUUGCUAGUAAUCGCGAAUCAGAAUGUCGCGGUGAAUACGUUCCCGGGUCUU